This 440-nucleotide ribosomal RNA is filed under the name Adlercreutzia equolifaciens. Its description in RNAcentral is "bacterial SSU rRNA". It matches the Rfam family "Bacterial small subunit ribosomal RNA", at positions 390 to 846 of the family's 1533-position model. The record is from RNAcentral. Lineage: Bacteria; Bacillati; Actinomycetota; Coriobacteriia; Eggerthellales; Eggerthellaceae.
AGCGAAGCCGCGUGAGUGAAGAAGUAUUUCGGUAUGUAAAGCUCUAUCAGCAGGGAAGAAAAUGACGGUACCUGACUAAGAAGCCCCGGCUAACUACGUGCCAGCAGCCGCGGUAAUACGUAGGGGGCAAGCGUUAUCCGGAUUUACUGGGUGUAAAGGGAGCGUAGACGGCAUGGCAAGCCAGAUGUGAAAACCCAGGGCUCAACCUUGGGAUUGCAUUUGGAACUGCCAGGCUGGAGUGCAGGAGAGGUAAGCGGAAUUCCUAGUGUAGCGGUGAAAUGCGUAGAUAUUAGGAGGAACACCAGUGGCGAAGGCGGCUUACUGGACUGUAACUGACGUUGAGGCUCGAAAGCGUGGGGAGCAAACAGGAUUAGAUACCCUGGUAGUCCACGCGGUAAACGAUGAUUGCUAGGUGUAGGUGGGUAUGGACCCAUCGGUGC